Mytilus californianus (California mussel) is the source of this 2615-nucleotide long non-coding RNA. RefSeq lists it as uncharacterized. NCBI's taxonomy places the organism in Eukaryota, Metazoa, Mollusca, Bivalvia, Mytilida, Mytilidae. The transcript is spliced from 2 exons. The record is from RefSeq and is a predicted model, not a curated record.
CUUUUACAAUUGAAAUGUUCCUGAUCUUAGUGCAUACCUGUUAAUUUUAUUGCGACGUUCGAAAAGGUUUUCUAAACCUGUUCAUAUAUCAAAGAGGCGAUGCCUAAAGUUUUCCUAGUAAUCUGAACUGUUAUCCUGCAAGUAGGGUUAUUGAAGAUAACACACAUUAAAAUGAAUGCUGAGAUCGUCAACCAUAUAGAUUGUUCCAGGAAAAAUUUAACAGCAAUGCCUGAUGUUCUGCAAAAUUCUACAACAGAUCUAAAUCUCCGAGGAAAUCUUUUACACGUAGUUCCUGCAUGGUCUUUCCAGAAAUCAAAAAUAUUAAAAAACAUAGAUCUAUCUUAUAAUCGGCUGAGGUUGAUUGAACGGGGAGCUUUCGAUGGACUAGUCGAACUUUCCAUUCUCAACCUUAGAAGUAACUUAUUAACUUCAAAAUUAUUUAAUGUGAAUAUUUUUCAAGGUUUAAUUUCUCUUCAGGAACUAGUUAUAAAAAAAAUCAUUUUUACGAUAAUUAUACAUUUUUUCAAUCCGAAAUAUCUCGAGUAAAAUCAUUGGUCAAGUUAAAAAUGGACCAUACCAAAUAGAUAAAUGUCUUUGUAAUUUAUCAAACCUACAGAACCUUGAAAUGUUAGGACUGCCUGGACAAACAUAUGCAGAUAAUUCAUUUCAAAACCUAAAGUGUCUUUAAAUAGAAACAUUAUUGCUUGAUUUUGUGAUUUCACUAGCACCAAACACGUUCAUAUUUUUUCCGUAUUUAAAAACGCUAGGGAUAGCAAUACACACCGCUCGUGCUACGUACGACGUAAUAAGCAACAUAUUUAGUUCUUUGAAGAUUUUCAAGGGUAGAAAUAUGACGGAAAUAAGCGUUCCUGGAAAUCCUCAUAGAAACGGAUUUGUAUUGGGCCAUUCUCACUUUGCAGUACUUGAACAAAUAUGUCUACAAAAGUUGAAUUUGGUGGGUGAUAGUAUACUUGGUGUAAAGUUCAAUCCUUUUUUGAGAUAUGGAUAUAAGGAGAAUUGUUUAGAAGAAUUAAAUUUGUCCGAUAAUUUACUGUUCGAUAGAAAAGAUGGAUAUUAGCUUGCAUUGUGUGCAUUUAAACAUUUGAAAAUAAUCAGAAUUCCACACGAAGUAGAUAAAGACAAUAGAGUAAAACGAUCCACCAAAAAUGACGUAUCUUACUCGUUUUGCUUGCCAAAAACUAUAAAAACAGUUGGACCUCCAUUCGCACGUUAAAUCAUAUAACAGUAGGAGAAUUGCUAAUCUAACUAUUAUCAACGGGUCAAAUUUAAAAGUUUUAAAUAUGGCUAACGUGACAGUCCAAGAUUGUAAUGGUACGGUUAAUGGCAUUGAAAACUUAGAGUAUUUAGAUAUGUCAGGAUUUAACUGCAAAUUAUUGAGUGAACAUCGUCUCUCGCAUUUACCUUAACUGGUUACUUUCAUUGCACAAGAUGCAAAACUUGGAAUCGGGUUGAACUCCCUUGAAACUGCCUCAGAUUUCUUUAAGAUGAAUUUAGAUCUCCAUCAUAUUGAUCUGAUGCAGAAUAUCAUACAUUCAUUACCAGAUGGCUUGUUCCAUCAUCCUUUUAGACAAAAGAUUUUUAUAAUAUUGGAUAAAAACAACUUACAAUCACUACGAAACUUCCCGUCAAAACCGAAUACUAUUGAACAAAUCAGUUUAAAAUACAAUAAAUUUUCGUGUCUUAGCGAUGACAAUAUCGCUAAACUUGACAUAAUAAAACCUGCAAGUGUUUUUCUUCGUGGAAAUCCGAUUGAAUGCUCUUGUAAGACGUUAAGUUUUCUGAAAUGGGUGCUCCGUUCAGGUAUUAUAGGUGAUGUCGAUGAAGUAGAAUGCGUCCUCCAAAAUGGAACUCUUGCAAUUUUGUCUCAUCGUUACAACUCUAAUUUGGCAUUAAAAUGAGAAAGAUCAUAUUAUAGAAAACAUUUGUACUUAGUUACAAGUUGAUUGGACUUCAAGUUCAAAAAAGACUACCGUAACCAAAAACUUUAACAUGAAGCGGGACAGACGGACGAACGAACGAACGGACAGACGCACAGACCGAAACACAUUUUGCCCCUCUACUUUCGUAAGUGGGGCAUUAAAAGGAACAAAAUAACAGUUGGUAAGCUCGAUCAACGGUUGCGUCCUAAUAUAUAUAUAUAUAUAUUAAUUUGCAUAUUUACAUAUUAUCUCUCGUUGUGCUGAAUCUGUCAUUUUUUGUAUGUUCAGUUAAGAUUUUGUCUGGAUGGUUAUUGCUUUUUCCCCCAUAUUGCACUGAUAAGACAAUUUGACUUGUACAAUAUACAGGUAUAUGACUGUCACUAAACAAUUUACACUGUUCACAGGCGUUGACAUUAAGCGCUUUCUUUCAAAAUGUCCCAUAAGAAUUGACAUCUUGUCAUGGGUUAUUGUCAUUUUCACUAAAAAAAUUCUGCAUCAUAGAUUUAUGUUCUUCGGACUGAAUGCACAAUGAAAUCAUUUUUUUUUAAUCUUAUAACUGAUAAAAUUCAAGGGAUCGUCAGCCAAAAUAUCUGAUAAACCAUUUAAAAAAUGAUGAUUAUGUUAUAGACUACCCUUGAUUUAUGAAAAUGAAGAAAUAAAACAUCAGCAACACUA